AUUGAACGCUGGCGGCAGGCUUAACACAUGCAAGUCGAGCGGAGCGGCGGACGGGUGAGUCAUGCCUAGGAUUCUGACUGGUAGUGGGGGCUAACGUCCGGAAACGGGCGCUAAUACAGCAUCCUAACAGAUGAGCCUAGGUCCGAUUAGCUAGGUGGUGGGGUAAAGGCCUACCAAGGCGAAGAUCCGUAACUGGUGUGAGAGGAUGAUCAGUCACACUGGAACGUAGACACGGUCCAGACUCCUACGGGAGGCAGAAGGGGGGAAUAUUGGACAAUGGGCGAAAGCCUGAUACAGCCAUGCCGCGUGUGUGAAGAAGGUCUUCGGAUUGUAAAGCUCUUUAAGUUGGGAGGCGUUACCAACAGAAUAAGCACCGGCUAACUUCGUGCCAGCAGCCGCGGUAAUAC
Molecule: ribosomal RNA, 407 nt
Filed under: uncultured bacterium
Lineage: Bacteria
Description: partial 16S ribosomal RNA
Rfam family: Bacterial small subunit ribosomal RNA
Source: RNAcentral